This 579-nucleotide long non-coding RNA is filed under the name Hordeum vulgare. Its description in RNAcentral is "long non-coding RNA (HVUL_LNC012154)". The record is from RNAcentral. Lineage: Eukaryota; Viridiplantae; Streptophyta; Magnoliopsida; Poales; Poaceae.
GUUACAUUGGGGGUGACCCGAUUACAAUAGGAGAUAUGCCACUACGAUGGGGUGAUUGAUCAAGAGAUGAGGUCUUGCGGAAGGAAUGUUGCAUCAGCGCCGACCAUUUCCUUGUGUCGGUGGCCAACAAGGAGAUGACCUAACUAAGACACGACCCACCUUCAAAAUAGGGCUAGAAUUCUACGCACUCAUAGUUGGAGUCACUGCCCUUGCUCUUCAUGGUGGGCGUGAUGUCAUCAGCAUCGUCACUCUUGCUGGAGGAACCAAAGUCCCUUCCGUUCGAGUUUUUAGUGCGGCUCUCCAACCUGCUACCGCCGAGUCGAUUCUAGUAAAAUACCAUUUUCAUUCUAGUUAUAUAUCGGAGGGUAGGAUUUUUUACUCCUCUUCUACGCUCUAGUGAGAAAUCAUGGUGUAGGAAUUUUAAUUCUACCCCUCAUCUCACUCAAAAAAAAUAGUAUCACGCAGGUAUUUUGGAACCUCUAUGAGGUCGAUGUGACGAAAUUCUGUACUUGGUGCCUCCUGUUUCCUAGGAGUACAUCUCCAAGGGGUUCUCGACAUAUCUCUAUCAUUCAGUUUCCU